CCUUCUGUAUAUAUAUUUUAUUGUCACAGCCCGGCUCUCAGACUGCAACAAAACCAGGAGACGAGCGAGCAAGCUAAGAGGAAACAAUCAAACAAUGUACCGGGAACAGACAACCAAAACCACAGGGAACCCUGGGAUAUGGGAGGAGGAGGGUCGUCAUAUAUAUAUAUAUAUAUAUAUAUAAUUAGUAUGUGUGUGUGUAUGUGUAUAUAUAUAUUAUAUAUAAAAGCUCAAUAACAACACUCCAGUAACACGUUCAGACCACCUUUCCUCCUCCCGGCUCCUCUAGCCAACAUUAUUGAACGUUAAAUCUCGUAGCGCUGCCGUUGCUCGGCAGUAAUCUGCUGUGUCGGCGGAGCGGAGGUCUCUGGGGACGGCAGGAAGACAAUAACUCUGUAUUAAGGUUCAUAAAAUGGAACUGAUUUUACUUUCAUGUGGGAUAAAAGUGCUCUGCUGGCUCCUGCUGUUUUCAAAACAACCCAAAACAUUUGUGCUGGAGGUGGGCUGCGUGUUCAGUCGGAUAUGAAACACGGAGGUGAGAUCCAAUCGGAAGCGAUCAACUCCAGACACACUUGGAGCCGAACGUAGAUGACAGGUCUCCCAGUCUGCGCUCCCCCCCCCAGCCUAAUCAGGGACGGGCUCGUCGAUGCAGGUUCAUCAGCAGACACAUGGCAUUUUUCCAGCAAAUGCUCUGCUGAGAUUGUACUGCAGCCCUUUAGUUCUCGUGUGAGGCUUUUUGUCUCGCUGCUUGGUUGUAUUGAGGUCAUUUGACUGACUAAGACAGCCUUGCUUUAAUUAACUCUGCAGCUGUUCUUUUAAUUGGACAAAUAUACACACUGAUCAUCUCUUUUAAAAGGGAACGUCUGUAUGCUCCCCUACUGGUCAUUGCUUGAUUGCAGUGUUGGUCUCCAAAGCCAAACCAAAUACGGAAAUGUCUCAACUUUGAAAGGAAGUUUAGAGGCGUGUUCCCCGUGAAAAACCUUUCAUCUUCAGCCGUAAAUAUCUGAUAAGUGUCUGAUAUUUGUUAUUUAUGUUGUUGCCUGUGAAUAUUGAUUCUGAACUUUAAAAUCACAUAGUUUUGCUUUUUAACCCCAACAGGCCUUUGGUGUCUGCAGGGAAUCCCCAAAUCUGUAUUGUUUCACGUAUCAAUGCUCAUUUUGCUACUUGAAACAAAGAAAAAGAGACCAAUGAAAAUGUUCGUUAGUUCGGCAUUUGAACCUAAACCUGACAAUCCAUUCGUAGCAUUUGCGACAUUUCACUGCAAACCACGAACGUCAACUCGCUGGUUGACAUCUUCAUCCUGAGAGCCAGGCUGAUAAAAUGGCUCAACCUUCUCCGCAUGGGAAGACUCGCAUGCAGGUGGGGGGCCGCUACCACGUUUUCCCACCCAUUCCUUUCCUGCCGGUGCAGGCUGACAAAGUCAAAUGCAGAUUGCAAUUCCAAAUUAAAACAGGGGAAAUAUGUGUGCCCAAUAAUAGGGAGAAGAAGCUCCACCUCCAGUUAGAUGUGCUCCCAGUUCACUGAGCCAUAUUUCUGGUGAUACAAAUGCAUAUGUUUCUGUUCAAAGUCUGAGUGAUGAAGUCAUUCUAUUCUCAGCGACGGGACGGGUUUUGAGAGGCGCUGGACUUGUUUAAGUAAAAAGCAAAAUAAACUGCAGACUCCCACGAGGAAUAAUUUGCAUGCAUCUCAUAACUCGCUGUCUUUUCAUCUUUUGAUUUCUUGUUUUAUGGGAC
Non-coding RNA from Gasterosteus aculeatus aculeatus (three-spined stickleback), 1733 nucleotides. NCBI's taxonomy places the organism in Eukaryota, Metazoa, Chordata, Actinopteri, Perciformes, Gasterosteidae. The record is from RefSeq and is a predicted model, not a curated record.